UAGGGAAUCUUCCACAAUGGGCGCAAGCCUGAUGGAGCAACACCGCGUGAGUGAAGAAGGGUUUCGGCGCGUAAAGCUCUGUUGUUAAAGAAGAACACGUAUGAGAGUAACUGUUCAUACGUUGACGGUAUUUAACCAGAAAGUCACGGCUAACUACGUGCCAA
RNAcentral lists this ribosomal RNA (164 nucleotides) under uncultured bacterium. RNAcentral's name for it is "partial 16S rRNA". It matches the Rfam family "Bacterial small subunit ribosomal RNA", at positions 355 to 511 of the family's 1533-position model. The record is from RNAcentral.